UACGGAGGGGGCGAGCGUUAUUCGGAAUUAUUGGGCGUAAAGGGCGCGUAGGCGGCUUGACAAGUCAAAGGUGAAAUCCCUCGGCUCAACUGAGGAACUGCCUUUGAAACUGUCUGGCUUGAGGCCGGGAGGGGGUAGCGGAAUUCCCAGUGUAGCGGUGAAAUGCGUAGAUACUGGGAGGAACACCAGUGGCGAAGGCGGCUACCUGGACCGGUUCUGACGCUCAGGCACGAAAGCAUGGGGAGCAAAAGGG
Molecule: ribosomal RNA, 253 nt
Filed under: uncultured bacterium
Lineage: Bacteria
Description: partial 16S ribosomal RNA
Rfam family: Bacterial small subunit ribosomal RNA
Source: RNAcentral